ACGCUCAUACCAACGGGAUCACGCCCGCUCUCGUCCGAUCGCGGAAGCUAAGCCCGUUUGGGCCCGUUCAGUACUGCCGUGGGUGACC
Salpingoeca rosetta is the source of this 88-nucleotide ribosomal RNA. The record is from RefSeq and is a predicted model, not a curated record. NCBI's taxonomy places the organism in Eukaryota, Choanoflagellata, Craspedida, Salpingoecidae.